CUGUUGAUGGGAAUAGGGGACAGUAAGGUGCGGUCUUCUUGGCCUGUGUAAGUACACAAAUUUUCUUCUGUAAAUGCAUAAGAAGAUGGUUGGAGCUCUUUCUUCAUUUCUGUUCACAUACAUCACACACCUUACA
Telopea speciosissima is the source of this 136-nucleotide long non-coding RNA. RefSeq lists it as uncharacterized. NCBI's taxonomy places the organism in Eukaryota, Viridiplantae, Streptophyta, Magnoliopsida, Proteales, Proteaceae. The record is from RefSeq and is a predicted model, not a curated record. The transcript is spliced from 3 exons.